GUUUCAGACAAGUGAAGAACAUGCCUGAGAUUGCCUGGAUUGUUACUUUUGGCAAAAAAGUUUCUAAAUUGGCGUGUGGAAUCUUACCAAGUCACAAGAGGAACUGGUUACAGCCAGAGCCAGGAGAAACUCGGUCAUUGGCCCUCUUCAAUGCUGAGUGUAGAACAGAAUAAUGGAAAACUGGAAGAAAAAUAAAACCUCUCCAUUUCCAGCUUCAAAAUGGCUGCAAUGGCAUCACUUCCAGCCCACUCCAAAUGAUGUCACUUCCGGUUCCACAAUCCAUUACUUCUGUCUACUCCUGAUGACGCUGGUUCCGUGUUCCCGCCUCCAAUUGUCACUUCCUGCCAACCAUUUCCUCUCCCAUCAUACAUUCUGCUAUA
This is a long non-coding RNA of Polypterus senegalus (gray bichir), 380 nucleotides long. RefSeq lists it as uncharacterized. The record is from RefSeq and is a predicted model, not a curated record. Lineage: Eukaryota; Metazoa; Chordata; Cladistia; Polypteriformes; Polypteridae. The transcript is spliced from 3 exons.